GAUGAAGAACGUAGCGAAAUGCGAUAAGUAAUGUGAAUUGCAGAAUUCAGUGAAUCAUCGAAUCUUUGAACGCACAUUGCGCCCGCCAGUAUUCUGGCGGGCAUGCCUGUCUGAGCGUCAUUUCAACCCUCAUGCCCCUAGGGCGUGGUGUUGGGGAUCGGCCAAAGCCCGCGAGGGACGGCCGGCCCCUAAAUCUAGUGGCGGACCCGUCGUGGCCUCCUCUGCGAAGUAGUGAUAUUCCGCAUCGGAGAGCGACGAGCCCCUGCCGUUAAACCCCCAACUUUCCAAGGUUGACCGCAGAUCAGGUAGGAAUACCCGCUGAACUUAAGCAUAUCAAUAAGCGGAGGA
RNAcentral lists this unclassified non-coding RNA (348 nucleotides) under soil metagenome. Its description in RNAcentral is "partial contains 5.8S ribosomal RNA, internal transcribed spacer 2, and large subunit ribosomal RNA". The stretch from base 1 to 120 matches the Rfam family "5.8S ribosomal RNA", at positions 35 to 154 of the family's 154-position model. The record is from RNAcentral.